This 301-nucleotide ribosomal RNA is filed under the name uncultured bacterium. Its description in RNAcentral is "partial 16S ribosomal RNA". It matches the Rfam family "Bacterial small subunit ribosomal RNA", at positions 509 to 807 of the family's 1533-position model. The record is from RNAcentral.
CAGCAGCCGCGGGAACACGAAGGGUGCAAGCGUUACUCGGAAUUACUGGGCGUAAAGCGUGCGUAGGUGGUGGUUUAAGUCCGUUGUGAAAGCCCUGGGCUCAACCUGGGAAUUGCAGUGGAUACUGGGUCACUAGAGUGUGGUAGAGGAUAGUGGAAUUUCCGGUGUAGCAGUGAAAUGCGUAGAGAUCGGAAGGAACAUCUGUGGCGAAGGCGACUAUCUGGGCCAACACUGACACUGAGGCACGAAAGCGUGGGGAGCAAACAGGAUUAGAAACCCCCGUAGUCCCUGUCUCUUAUAC